CUAUUCCUGGAUUUUAAACUGCAUGCCAAACCGUCAGACGGAAGAUGCACAACACUGCCAGGUUCCAUCAAUACUUGCUGCCUCCAGCUAUUCAAAAGCUUCACGGAUAAAUGAAGCAGACAGACAAUCGUCGAUCCCCUAUGAAAGUACAUGUGUCCUUCGCUAAAUGAAUGGAGGCUAAUUAAACCCUCCGACUGGCUCCGAGAGAGAGAGAGAGACAGAGAGAGUAGAGAGAGAAAGAGAAACAGAGAUGUAGAGAAGGUGGGGGAGAAAAAAACGGGAAGUGGAGGGAAGGGCAGACAGCAGGGCAGGUAAGGUGAGGGACUGAAUGAAAGACAAAGGCGACAGGCAAUACUGUAGACAGCUAGACAGAAAAGGGGGCGAUGAGACAGCUGGGGGGAGGGCGAAUGAGUGAGAUAGUAAAGUGACGGAGAUCCAGACAGAGGACAGCGGGAGGUGGAGAGAAAAGGGCAUGCAAAGUAGUGGAUUAAACGUGGAAAGAUGAAGCAGGAGAAAGAGCCUCUGUGAAGUAAAAGUGUCGAAAAGAGUGUGUGUGCGUGUGUGGGAACAACUGAGAUAGCAGCAGAAAGAUUGAGAGGACAGAGGAACAGAAGUGGAGGGAAAGUAGCGAAAAGGUAUCAACUGUCACUACAGAGACAGAAGGUAAGAGAGCAAAUUCACUCCGUCCGCAAUCCCAGUGGCAACCUUGAGCGGAGGUCUUAGGUGACAGCUUUUCCCGCUUUCUGAUUUGCCAUCCGUGGCGCGGCUUUGAUUUAGGGCCUAUUAACUAUAAGAUUCCAUCCAUCCUGCCCCCCGGUGACAGCAGUUACAUUUGCUAAGACAAUAUGUUAGGAGGUGAGAUGAUGAGAGGCGCCUUGCGAACGUGCAGGGGGGGGAGACCGACCAUCUCCAUCUCCAUUAACGCACUCCAUUUUCUUGAUUGGCCUGUCACACGGACACACGUGACGCGCCAAACGAAGAAGGGCCGGCCAAGAGACAGCAGCGGCUUUUAUCGCUGAACAGAGUGCCAGGGGUCAAUCUUUUUCAACGCCAGGAUGGAUGGAUGGAAAAUGGCUCUCUUCUUCUUUUUCACCUCUGCGCACUCCUGCAUAAAUGCUGAAUCAAUCAUAGUCACCUGAGGAGGGUUUCAAUGAAAAAAGAAAAAAAAAAAAAA
Long non-coding RNA from Acanthopagrus latus (yellowfin seabream), 1174 nucleotides. RefSeq lists it as uncharacterized. NCBI's taxonomy places the organism in Eukaryota, Metazoa, Chordata, Actinopteri, Spariformes, Sparidae. The transcript is spliced from 2 exons. The record is from RefSeq and is a predicted model, not a curated record.